CCGGCUAAGGCCCCUAAUUGAAUACUAAGUGUAGAAGGAGGUGGAUUUUCACAGACAGUGGGGAUGUUGGCUUAGAGGCAGCCACCAUUUAAACAGUGCGUAAUAGCUGACCCAUCGAGAGAAUCUGCGCCGAAGAUGAACGGGACUCAAGUAUUCAGCCGAAGCCGUGGACUUCGACCCGCCUUGCGGGACGGAGUGGUAGGAGAGCGUUCUAACAGGAGUGAAGUCGUUCGGAAACGAACGGUGGACCGGUUAGAAGUGAGAAUGCAGGCAUAAGUAACGAUAAACAUGGUUAAAAUCCAUGUCGCCGAAAACCCAAGGUUUCCUAGGGAAGGUUCGUCCGCCUAGGGUUAGUCGGGAGCUAAGGCGAGGCCGUAAGGAGUAGUCGAUGCACAACUGGUUAAUAUUCCAGUACCACCCCAUAGAUGUUUGAUACUCGGAGUGACGGAGAAGGUUAAAGCAGCUAACUGUCGAAUGUGUUAGUCCAAGUGCGUAGGCCGUCUGGUAGACAAAUCCGCCAGGCAAUAGGCUGAAACACGAUGGGACCCUGAAACUACGGUGGAUGGGGAUUGUUUGAUACCAUGCUUCCAGGAAAAGCUUCGUUUUUAGUCUAUGAGGUGCCCGUACCGUAAACCGACACAGGUGGGUGAGAUGAGUAUUCUAAGGCGCGUGAGUUAACCCUCUCCAAGGAACUCGGCAAAUUAGCCCCGUAACUUCGGGAUAAGGGGUGCCUGGCGUAAGUCAGGCCGCAGUGACAAGUUCCAAUCGACUGUUUAGCAAAAACAUAGCUCUCUGCUAAGUGGCAACACGAUGUAUAGGGAGUGACAAGUGACCAAUGCGAAAAGGUGAACACUGGAGGUGCAAGCUUCUGGUCUAAGCCCUCGUGAAUGUCGGCCGUAACUAUAACGGUCCUAAGGUAGCGAAAUUCCUUGUCGGGUAAGUUCCGACCUGCACGAAUCUUGCAACGAAUUGGAAACUGUCUCGGAGAGGCGCUCAGUGAAAUUGUAGUCGACGUGCAGAUGCGUCGUACCCGCAGCAGGACGGAAAGACCCUAUGCACCUUUACUGUAAGCUGCUAUUGGUAUUCGGUUUUUAAUGCGUAGAAUAGGUGGGAGACUAUGAAGUCAUACUUCAGGGUAUGGCAGAGUCACAACGUGAAAUACCACUCUUUACUAAUUGGAUAUCUAACCAUAGGCCCUUAACGGGUUGUGGAACAGUGGUAGCAGGUCAGUUUUACUGGGGCGGUAUCCUCCUAAAGAGUAACGGAGGGUUGCGAAGGUUCGCUCAAACCGGUUGGCAAUCGGUUGUCGAGGAUAUGGCUAAAAGCGAGCUUUACUGUGAGACCUACAAGUCGAGCAGUUGCGAAAGCAGGCC
Molecule: ribosomal RNA, 1373 nt
Filed under: marine metagenome
Description: bacterial LSU rRNA
Rfam family: Bacterial large subunit ribosomal RNA
Source: RNAcentral